AUUGAACGCUGGCGGCAUGCCUUACACAUGCAAGUCGAACGGCAGCACGGGAGCUUGCUCCUGGUGGCGAGUGGCGAACGGGUGAGUAAUACAUCGGAACGUACCCUGAAGUGGGGGAUAACGUAGCGAAAGUUACGCUAAUACCGCAUAUUCUGUGAGCAGGAAAGAGGGGGAUCGCAAGACCUCUUGCUUUAGGAGCGGCCGAUGUCGGAUUAGCUAGUUGGUGAGGUAAAGGCUCACCAAGGCGACGAUCCGUAGCGGGUCUGAGAGGAUGAUCCGCCACACUGGGACUGAGACACGGCCCAGACUCCUACGGGAGGCAGCAGUGGGGAAUUUUGGACAAUGGGCGCAAGCCUGAUCCAGCCAUGCCGCGUGAGUGAAGAAGGCUCGGUGU
Molecule: ribosomal RNA, 394 nt
Filed under: uncultured bacterium
Lineage: Bacteria
Description: bacterial SSU rRNA
Rfam family: Bacterial small subunit ribosomal RNA
Source: RNAcentral